This 232-nucleotide ribosomal RNA is filed under the name uncultured bacterium. Its description in RNAcentral is "partial 16S ribosomal RNA". It matches the Rfam family "Bacterial small subunit ribosomal RNA", at positions 99 to 334 of the family's 1533-position model. The record is from RNAcentral.
CGGACGGGUGAGUAAUGUCUGGGAAACUGCCCGAUGGAGGGGGAUAACUACUGGAAACGGUAGCUAAUACCGCAUAACGUCGCAAGACCAAAGAGGGGGACCUUCGGGCCUCUUGCCAUCGGAUGUGCCCAGAUGGGAUUAGCCAGUAGGUGGGGUAACGGCUCACCUAGGCGACGAUCCCUAGCUGGUCUGAGAGGAUGACCAGCCACACUGGAACUGAGACACGGUCCAG